GGGUGUGGCAGUGCUAUCCUGAACAAGCCUGAUUCCUUCUGAUCUCGGAAGCUAAGCAGGGUCAGGACUGGUUAGUACUUGGAUGGGAGACCACCUAGGAAGACCAGGUACUGUAGGUG
Molecule: ribosomal RNA, 119 nt
Filed under: Pteropus alecto (black flying fox)
Lineage: Eukaryota; Metazoa; Chordata; Mammalia; Chiroptera; Pteropodidae
Source: RNAcentral